Molecule: ribosomal RNA, 468 nt
Filed under: uncultured bacterium
Lineage: Bacteria
Description: bacterial SSU rRNA
Rfam family: Bacterial small subunit ribosomal RNA
Source: RNAcentral
ACUCCUACGGGAGGCAGCAGUGCGUACUAUUGCGCAAUGGGCGAAAGCCUGACGCAGCCAUGCCGCGUGUGUGAAGAAGGCCUUAGGGUUGUAAAGCACUUUCAAUUGGGAAGAAAAGUUGGUCGUUAAUAGCGGCCAGCCCUGACAUUACCUUUAGAAGAAGGACCGGCUAACUCCGUGCCAGCAGCCGCGGUAAUACGGAGGGUCCGAGCGUUAAUCGGAAUUACUGGGCGUAAAGCGCGCGUAGGCGGUUUGUUAAGUCAGCUGUGAAAGCCCUGGGCUCAACCUGGGAACUGCAGUUGAUACUGGCAAACUAGAGUAUGAAAGAGGGAGGUAGAAUUCCAUGUGUAGCGGUGAAAUGCGUAGAUAUAUGGAGGAAUACCAGUGGCGAAGGCGGCCUCCUGGUUCAAUACUGACGCUGAGGUGCGAAAGCGUGGGGAUCAAACAGGAUUAGAUACCCUGGUAGUC